RNAcentral lists this ribosomal RNA (774 nucleotides) under uncultured bacterium. RNAcentral describes it as "bacterial SSU rRNA". It matches the Rfam family "Bacterial small subunit ribosomal RNA", at positions 562 to 1336 of the family's 1533-position model. The record is from RNAcentral.
AAAGAGCUCGUAGGCGGUUUGUUGCGUCGGCUGUGAAAACCUGAGGCUCAACCUCAGGCCUGCAGUCGAUACGAGCAGACUAGAGUGUUGCAGGGGAGACUGGAAUUCCUGGUGUAGCGGUGAAAUGCGCAGAUAUCAGGAGGAACACCGGUGGCGAAGGCGGGUCUCUGGGGCACAACUGACGCUGAGGAGCGAAAGCGUGGGGAGCGAACAGGAUUAGAUACCCUGGUAGUCCACGCCGUAAACGUUGGGCGCUAGGUGUGGGGCUCAUUCCACGAGUUCCGUGCCGCAGCUAACGCAUUAAGCGCCCCGCCUGGGGAGUACGGCCGCAAGGCUAAAACUCAAAGGAAUUGACGGGGGCCCGCACAAGCGGCGGAGCAUGUUGCUUAAUUCGAUGCAACGCGAAGAACCUUACCUAGGCUUGACAUGCACGGAAAUCCUCCAGAGAUGGUGGGUCCGUAAGGGCCGUGCACAGGUGGUGCAUGGUUGUCGUCAGCUCGUGUCGUGAGAUGUUGGGUUAAGUCCCGCAACGAGCGCAACCCUCGUUCUAUGUUGCCAGCACGUCAUGGUGGGGACUCAUAGGAGACUGCCGGGGUCAACUCGGAGGAAGGUGGGGAUGACGUCAAAUCAUCAUGCCCCUUAUGUCUAGGGCUGCAAACAUGCUACAAUGGCCGGUACAAAGGGCUGCGAUACCGUGAGGUGGAGCGAAUCCCAAAAAGCCGGUCUCAGUUCGGAUUGGGGUCUGCAACUCGACCCCAUGAAGUUGGAGUCGCU